UUCCUUUCUCCUGAUUGGAAAUGGAAAGACGGUUUCGGCUGUCACUUACAGAUGGGCCCGCGGUGCAUUAGCUAGUUGGUGGGGUAAUGGCCCACCAAGGCGACGAUGCAUAGCCGACCUGAGAGGGUGAUCGGCCACACUGGGACUGAGACACGGCCCAGACUCCUACGGGAGGCAGCAGUAGGGAAUCUUCCGCAAUGGACGAAAGUCUGACGGAGCAACGCCGCGUGAGCGAUGAAGGCCUUCGGGUCGUAAAGCUCUGUUGUUAGGGAAGAACAAGUACGAGAGUAACUGCUCGUACCUUGACGGUACCUAACCAGAAAGCCCCGGCUAACUACGUGCCAGCAGCCGCGGUAAUACGUAGGGGGCAAGCGUUGUCCGGAAUUAUUGGGCGUAAAGGGCUCGUAGGCGGUUUCUUAAGUCUGAUGUGAAAGCCCACAGCUCA
Molecule: ribosomal RNA, 445 nt
Rfam family: Bacterial small subunit ribosomal RNA